AGAUUGAACGCUGGCGGCAGGCCUAACACAUGCAAGUCGAACGGUAACAGGGAGCAGCUUGCUGCUCUGCUGACGAGUGGCGGACGGGUGAGUAAUGUCUGGGAAACUGCCUGAUGGAGGGGGAUAACUACUGGAAACGGUAGCUAAUACCGCAUAACGUCUACGGACCAAAGUGGGGGACCUUCGGGCCUCAUGCCAUCAGAUGUGCCCAGAUGGGAUUAGCUAGUAGGUGGGGUAACGGCUCACCUAGGCGACGAUCCCUAGCUGGUCUGAGAGGAUGACCAGCCACACUGGAACUGAGACACGGUCCAGACUCCUACGGGAGGCAGCAGUGGGGAAUAUUGCACAAUGGGCGCAAGCCUGAUGCAGCCAUGCCGCGUGUAUGAAGAAGGCCUUCGGGUUGUAAAGUACUUUCAGCGGGGAGGAAGGCGUUGUGGUUAAUAACCACAGCGAUUGACGUUACCCGCAGAAGAAGCACCGGCUAACUCCGUGCCAGCAGCCGCGGUAAUACGGAGGGUGCAAGCGUUAAUCG
Molecule: ribosomal RNA, 532 nt
Filed under: Cronobacter sakazakii ATCC BAA-894
Lineage: Bacteria; Pseudomonadati; Pseudomonadota; Gammaproteobacteria; Enterobacterales; Enterobacteriaceae
Description: SSU rRNA
Rfam family: Bacterial small subunit ribosomal RNA
Source: RNAcentral